ACGGGAGGCAGCAGUGGGGGAUAUUGCACAAUGGGGGAAACCCUGAUGCAGCGACGCCGCGUGAGUGAUGAAGUAUUUCGGUAUGUAAAGCUCUAUCAGCAGGGAAGAAAAUGACGGUACCUGACUAAGAAGCUCCGGCUAAAUACGUGCCAGCAGCCGCGGUAAUACGUCUGGAGCAAGCGUUAUCCGGAUUUACUGGGUGUAAAGGGAGCGUAGACGGUGACGCAAGUCUGAAGUGAAAGGUGUGGGCUCAACCCGCAAACUGCUUUGGAAACUGUGUGACUAGAGUGUCGGAGAGGUAAGUGGAAUUCCUAGUGUAGCGGUGAAAUGCGUAGAUAUUAGGAGGAACACCAGUGGCGAAGGCGGCUUACUGGACGAUAACUGACGUUGAGGCUCGAAAGCGUGGGGAGCAAACAGGAUUAGAUACCCUGGUA
This 434-nucleotide ribosomal RNA is filed under the name uncultured bacterium. Its description in RNAcentral is "partial 16S ribosomal RNA". It matches the Rfam family "Bacterial small subunit ribosomal RNA", at positions 341 to 792 of the family's 1533-position model. The record is from RNAcentral.